UUAAGCAUAUCAAUAAGCGGAGGAAAAGAAACUAACAAGGAUUCCCCUAGUAACUGCGAGUGAAGCGGGAAAAGCUCAAAUUUAAAAUCUGGCGGUCUUUGGCCGUCCGAGUUGUAAUCUAGAGAAGUAAUGCCCGUGCUGGACCGUGUAUAAGUCUCCUGGGAUGGGGCGUCAUAGAGGGUGAGAAUCCCGUCUUUGACACGGACUACCAGUGCAUUGUGGUAUGCUCUCAAAGAGUCGAGUUGUUUGGGAAUGCAGCUCAAAAUGGGUGGUAAAUUCCAUCUAAAGCUAAAUAUUGGCGAGAGACCGAUAGCGAACAAGUACCGUGAGGGAAAGAUGAAAAGAACUUUGGAAAGAGAGUUAAACAGUACGUGAAAUUGCUGAAAGGGAAACGCUUGAAGUCAGUCGCGUUGGCCAGGGAUCAGCCUUGCUCUUGCAUGGUGUACUUUCUGGUUGACGGGUCAGCAUCAAUUUUGACCGCUGGAAAAGGGCCUGGGGAAUGUGGCAGCUUCGGCUGUGUUAUAGCCCCUGGUCGCAUACGGUGGUUGGGAUUGAGGAACUCAGCACGCCGCAAGGCCGGGUUUCGACCACGUUCGUGCUUAGGAUGCUGGCAUAAUGGCUUUAAGCGACCCGU
RNAcentral lists this ribosomal RNA (634 nucleotides) under Agaricus bambusetorum. RNAcentral's name for it is "partial large subunit ribosomal RNA". It matches the Rfam family "Eukaryotic large subunit ribosomal RNA", at positions 34 to 652 of the family's 3401-position model. Lineage: Eukaryota; Fungi; Basidiomycota; Agaricomycetes; Agaricales; Agaricaceae. The record is from RNAcentral.